GAUGAACGCUGGCGGCGUGCCUAACACAUGCAAGUCGAGCGAGAUGUAUAUGGACGAAACUUCGGUCUAGGAAAUAUAUUGACAGCGGCGGACGGGUGAGUAACGCGUAGGCAACCUGCCCUUAACACAGGGAUAGCCUCGGGAAACCGGGAUUAAAACCUGAUAAUGCCAAAUAGUCACAUGGCUGUUUGGCCAAAGAUUUAUCGGUUAAGGAUGGGCCUGCGUCUGAUUAGUUUGUUGGUGGGGUAACGGCCUACCAAGACUACGAUCAGUAGCCGACCUGAGAGGGUGAUCGGCCACAUUGGAACUGAGACACGGUCCAAACUCCUACGGGAGGCAGCAGUGGGGAAUAUUGCACAAUGGGCGAAAGCCUGAUGCAGCAACGCCGCGUGAGCGAUGAAGGCCUUUGGGUCGUAAAGCUCUGUCCUUGGGGAAGAAACAAAUGACGGUACCCAAGGAGGAAGCCCCGGCUAACUACGUG
RNAcentral lists this ribosomal RNA (481 nucleotides) under uncultured bacterium. RNAcentral describes it as "bacterial SSU rRNA". It matches the Rfam family "Bacterial small subunit ribosomal RNA", at positions 28 to 507 of the family's 1533-position model. The record is from RNAcentral.